AGUAACUGCCCAAUGCCUGUAGGUCCUAGUGGGGAGGAGGCAGGAGACCAGAGCAGCCAAGCUGUCUCAGAAAGAAAGACCUCUCAGCUAAGCAUCCGGGGCUCAGGCCUAGCUGCCUCCCCUUCCAAACACUCCUGGGCUCUUCCUACUGGCCCACACAUUGCUCCAAUGGGGCCCCUUUUCCAGGGAUGGAGCAGAUGCCCUGGAGGCUGGAAGACCUGAAUUCAAAUUUGACCUGAGACACUAGCUGUGUGACCCUGAGUGGUAGUUUGGAUGUGGUCCACUUGCCGGGCGGGAAGGCAGCAUGGAAGGGAGAUUCCAGAGUACAAGUAUCCCUUCUACAUUGUGACUUUCCCCAUUGCAGUUUCAAUAGAUUGUGAGUUGGAGUAAGAAAUUAAAUGGGAAUUUGGGGGGAGUUUUGCAGAAGCCACAGAUGAUACAUAAAAGCCAGCAGACCACACAGAAAAAGUUUAGAAACUCAGCAAUGGAUAAAAUAUAUGUAUAGUAUU
RNAcentral lists this long non-coding RNA (509 nucleotides) under Monodelphis domestica (gray short-tailed opossum). RNAcentral's name for it is "lncRNA (ENSMODG00000045060.1)". The record is from RNAcentral. Lineage: Eukaryota; Metazoa; Chordata; Mammalia; Didelphimorphia; Didelphidae.